UACGGGGGGGGGCAAGCGUUGUUCGGAAUUACUGGGCGUAAAGGGCCAGUAGGCGGCCAACUAAGUCGGAUGUGAAAUCCCCAGGCUUAACCUGGGAACUGCAUCCGAUACUGGAUGGCUUGAAUUCGGGAGAGGGAUGCAGAAGUUCCAGGUGUAGCGGUGAAAUGCGUAGAUAUCUGGAGGAACACCGGUGGCGAAGGCGGCAUCCUGGACCGGCAUUGACGCUGAGGCGCGAAAGCCAGGG
RNAcentral lists this ribosomal RNA (244 nucleotides) under uncultured bacterium. RNAcentral describes it as "partial 16S ribosomal RNA". It matches the Rfam family "Bacterial small subunit ribosomal RNA", at positions 524 to 765 of the family's 1533-position model. The record is from RNAcentral.